Molecule: ribosomal RNA, 263 nt
Filed under: uncultured bacterium
Lineage: Bacteria
Description: partial 16S ribosomal RNA
Rfam family: Bacterial small subunit ribosomal RNA
Source: RNAcentral
GCAAGUCGGGGGAGAAAGUUCUUCGGAAUGAGUACACCGGCAGAAGGGUGAGUACAAACUAGUUAACGUACCAUGUAGAUCGGGAUAAUUCUUGGAAACGAGUUGUAAUACCGAAUGAGAUCACGUGUUCUUUGGAGCGAGUGCUCAAAAGCGAGGGACCUUUCGGGGCCUCGUGCUGUGUGAGCGGACUAGUCCUGAUUAGUUUGUUGGUGAGGUAAUGGCUCACCAAGACUGUGAUCAGUAGCCGGCCUGAGAGGGUGUUC